Molecule: long non-coding RNA, 551 nt
Filed under: Elaeis guineensis (African oil palm)
Lineage: Eukaryota; Viridiplantae; Streptophyta; Magnoliopsida; Arecales; Arecaceae
Description: long non-coding RNA (EGUI_LNC059710)
Source: RNAcentral
UCCAACCAUCAACCUUCAACAGUGCCAACCGGACUUCAAUAGUGCCAUCCAGACUCCUCUAGCAGAUGAACUUCCACAAUGCCUUUCGAAUUUCGCUAUUAGUCAACCUUCUGUCGGAUUCCUCAUGCAACCGGACCUCUCCAGCGGAUAGUCUUCAGAUAAGCUUCUACAUCAGACAAAUUCCAGAUGGACUUCUCUAGCAAUCGAACUCAAACCAGAUUUCUCCAACAGAAAGUUUUCAUCCGGGCUUCUACAACAGAUGACUUCCGUCUGCAGCAUCAACGCUUAAGACACCUAACAACAGUUAACCCGUCAACAACCUUGAAAAUAUUCGAGCUUUUCUUAGAUUGCUGAGACAGAGAGCUAUUCUGCUCCACCAGACAUCCCAACCGAGCUUCAGCCAUCCGGCCUGAACUCCUCGAUAAGUCACGACAACGGACACCACUCCACUCUCUGUAACAAACUCCACGUGGCCCCACCACUCUCUGGCAAGUUGUGACAAUGGACACAACUCCACUUUCUGUAACAAACUCCAUGUGGCCCCACCACUC